Molecule: long non-coding RNA, 311 nt
Organism: Trematomus bernacchii (emerald rockcod)
Lineage: Eukaryota; Metazoa; Chordata; Actinopteri; Perciformes; Nototheniidae
Exons: 4
Source: RefSeq, a predicted model, not a curated record
CUUCAAUUGUUUUUUUCUUUUUACAGUUACAACAUUGUCAUUUUUUGAGGCAUUGAUGGCUUCUCCAGAAAGAUCAUGUACCUUGGAACAUCAAAUGACAACUGUUCUUCUACUACACUGGCAUUCUUCAGAGAGUCUGUCCAACAGUUUGGAUACCCACUCAGAGUGAGAGCAGACCAUGGUGUGGAGAAUUGUGGGGUGGCGGAGCUCAUGUUGACUGUGCGUGGGCCUAACAGUGGCAGCUUCAUUUCAGGCAAAAGUGUGCACAAUCAACGCAUUGAACGGUUGUGGAGAGAUGUCUGGAUGGCAGU